UAGGGAAUCUUCGGCAAUGGACGAAAGUCUGACCGAGCAACGCCGCGUGAGUGAAGAAGGUUUUCGGAUCGUAAAACUCUGUUGUUAGAGAAGAACAAGGACGUUAGUAACUGAACGUCCCCUGACGGUAUCUAACCAGAAAGCCACGGCUAACUACGUGCCAGCAGCCGCGGUAAUACGUAGGUGGCAAGCGUUGUCCGGAUUUAUUGGGCGUAAAGCGAGCGCAGGCGGUUUCUUAAGUCUGAUGUGAAAGCCCCCGGCUCAACCGGGGAGGGUCAUUGGAAACUGGGGGACAUGAGUGCAGAAGAGGAGAGUGGAAGUCCAUGUGUAGCGGUGAAAUGCGUAGAUAGAUGGAGGAACACCAGUGGCGAAGGCGGCUCUCUGGUCUGUAACUGACGCUGAGGCUCGAAAGCGUGGGGAGCAAACAGG
RNAcentral lists this ribosomal RNA (429 nucleotides) under Gemmatimonadota bacterium. RNAcentral describes it as "Gemmatimonadetes bacterium partial 16S ribosomal RNA". It matches the Rfam family "Bacterial small subunit ribosomal RNA", at positions 355 to 776 of the family's 1533-position model. The record is from RNAcentral. Lineage: Bacteria; Pseudomonadati; Gemmatimonadota.